This 80-nucleotide transfer RNA is filed under the name Cyanoptyche gloeocystis. RNAcentral's name for it is "tRNA-Leu". It matches the Rfam family "tRNA". From Rfam's summary of the family: Transfer RNA (tRNA) molecules are approximately 80 nucleotides in length. The record is from RNAcentral. Lineage: Eukaryota; Glaucocystophyceae.
ACUUCCAUGGUGAAAAGGUAAACACAUUAUACUCAAAAUAUAACGCAAAUAGCUUAUUGGUUCAAGUCCAAUUGGAAGUA